GAGAGCGGGAGGGAGGAGGGCGGAGGAGGAGCAGGAGGACUACGCGGGGCGCGUUCCCUCCCAGGUUUGCAAUUGGGGGGGGUGGGGGCGGGGGUGUCCAGGGCUGGGAGAGUGUGUGCGCGGGGAGGGGGCGAGGGGGCGCAGAGAGAGCGAAGGAGUGAUCGAGGUGGGGGGGGCGCCGCGGGAGCGGGGGGCCGUGUCCAGCGGAGUUAGCGGCGGAGAAUGUGAGCCGAGGCGCGAGCCAUGCUGUCAGCGACGGCGGGCAGCUCAGGGCUCCUCCACGACUCCUCUCCUCAGCAGCCGGGCGCCCGUGUCGCUGCCACCGCCGGAAGACAGACGCCCCCCAAAACCCCUCGCCUGGCUCGGACCUACGGAGCCGGCAGCCCAGCACUCCGAUGGGAGCUUGCCUGAUUGUCUACCCAUUGGCCUGGACCCCAGAGUCCACCCAGCUGAGCGUGUGCAGAGGGCCCCGAGUGCGGGGCGCUGCUCAGGCCAUUGCAGAGACCACCCUGGAGAUGCUGAUGAAGACAGGCCUUUCCUGCUGAGCCGGCCCUGUCUGCACAGCCUGCUCAGGUAACAGUGUGCAGGGAAGUCAGGCUUGGGCCUGGGCCACCCCCAGGAAGUGGGGAUCAGGGGGACUUGCCUCCCAGUCCCAACAGGGAUCCCCUCCCAGCUUAGGCCAAAAAGAGGUUCUUAACAGAAUCAAAACAUAUUAACCCAACAUUUACUCAAACUCCCCAUUAUCCAGAAAGGGGAACUGAGGUUCAUGGAUAUACAGUGAGUCCUACCUCCUAGCCUGAGGACUCUUCCCUGCGCCUUGAUGACCUGAGAGAACUGGGAGGAGAAAGGGGUUGUGACAAUGACCAGGACUCAGGGCAGAGUUGGAAACCAGAGUGCCUGAUGUGUGCAGCUGCUGACCCCCCAGGACACCUCUCUACCGGAGUCUGUGGAAGCAGAGAACUGGGAGGCCAAGGUGAGGUGCUGGGAGGGCCUGGGUAGCCCAGGUAUGCUAGAGUGUCCUUACUGGACAGGGAGGGGGCGGGGGCAGUGGCAGGACCCGCCUCCCUACUCCUGGCCCAGGUUCGCCCACCCUGGCUCAGGAGCUGCAGAGCUAGGUGAAGCUGCCCUGCCCUGCAGAGGCAACUCCCUGAACUGACACAUGAAGCCUCUGGCUCCAGGAAGCUCCUAGAGCUGAGCCUGCCUGGGGACCCCACCCAGCUUCCAAAGGAGCAUUCCUGGGGCCUGAGGUCUGGGGGUGGAGCCUCCUGCGAUUGUAAGGGUGGGGAGAUACAGCUGUGGGAGGAUGCACGGCUGUGUGUAUCCAACUAUAAAUGGACAGGGCACUCAAGCUUGUGUGCAAGCUGGUGUGUGUGGAGGGCUCUGUCCUGGGCACAGGGGUAAUAUACAAGAGUUGUGUAAGGAUUGGGCUGGGGGGGUGUUGAAGGGCUGUGUAUGUGGUACGUGAGAGCAUAGAUAUGCAGGAUUCCGGGUAUGUACUGGGCAGGUGUGGGGAUACCGUGUGUGCCAAACUGGAUGGUGUGUGUGCAAGGGUGCUAGUGUACACUGGAGAAAUGUGUAUAUAGACAAGAUCUGAAUACACUGCGAUGGUAUACAGUGUGUGCACAUGGGGAUCUGUGUGUACACUGGCGAAGUGUAUACUCAGUGUUCUGGACAUACAGUGGGAGUGAUGUGUGCACAUGUGGCUCCAUUUGUGCUUUGGAGGUGGGUUGGGCAAGCCUUGAGCUGAGCUGGGCUCAGCAGUGCCCAGCCUUGUGGCCAAAUCGCUGAAGUCACUUCCUUUCCAGCAGCAACUUUCCAGGAGGAGGAGUUCUUCAGACCUGGGCGGGGAGGGAGGUGGGGGGCGGAACAAGGAGCUCUCCGGGGAAGGAGGUGGGGCGGGGGUGAGAGGCUGCUGGGAGGGCCUAGUGGGGCUGGAGGAGGGGAGUCCUUUGGGAGACAGAAGGAAAGACAAGGACAGAAGUCUGGAAGGGCCAAGGGCAGGAGGGGAGGGGGGCGGAGCAGGGCGGGAAGCAUAGUCCCUGGGUGACCUCGGAGGGAGGAAGGGAGGGCCCCGGCAGGGUGACCCUCGGGUCCAGCCAGAGCUGGCGGUGGCGCCUGCACACCUGGCACCCAGGGCAGGGGGCUGGCAGGGGGCAGUUCUGGGGCAGACCUGCUUGCCAGGUGCCCUGCUCCGGGCAGGAAGGGGGUGGGCGAGGGUUGCACAAAGGAGCUCUGUGUGGCUGGGGGUAGGGUGGGGUGGGGUGUGCAGUGCUGUACUGUGCUGUGGCGGAGUGGGGGGGGGCGCCUGAUGGCCCCAGGGGGCGGGGCAGGGCCAGCUCCCCUUGGGGGCAUCAGUGGCUCCAAGGGGACACCUAGUGGCGAGGGAGAGUACUGUGUCUAGUUGAAUGGCUGUUGGUGGGAGGUGGUAGCUAGAAGCUGAGAGAAUAGAUUAGAAGUCGAAAAUUAGAACUGAUUGUUGGGACUAGGACAGUUGGAGGAGGCUGCAUGGGAGGGGCUGAAUCUCUGGACAGCGAAGCAGUUUGAUUUAGAGAAGCUCAACAAACCUAAAUUCAGACACCAGCUGAAUUGAAUGAGAUGGCUGUUUGUCCUUAAGGGCAUAACUUCACCUCUCUGUGCCUCUGUUUAAAUGAUGCCAAAUGAGUGAUGGCUGCCAUUAUUAUUGCCAUUAUUGUUUUUGUUAUGAUAUUGUGCGUGUGGUUGGAAGAUCUUCAGGUGUUAUUGUGUGGGCAGAUAGGUAGCUGAAGGAAAGGAGGUUGAGAGAGGUGAUGACUAGUCCCUGAAGGGCAGAUCCUGAGAGAUAAGGCCCCUGGAGGAGAAGGGAGGUGAUGGGAAGGUCUCAGAGCACCAGUAAUGGCCCCUCUGAAGCAGUGUUUUCCAUUUGAGGACAUCCUUGGGCCUUCGAACCAGGCUGGGAGGAAAAUGGUGGGGGAGGAGGAGUGUGCAAGCUGGAGAGAGGGUCAUGAGGCCGGAAGUGAGAGCUGGGGCUGGCAGCCUGGCUCCCCUGGGGAGGUGGUGUGUGGGGGAGGGGAAGGAGGGUUGGGGAAGGGGUGGGGUGGUCACAGCCACAGCGGGGAGGGUGGGGCUGGGGACUCAAGGAUGUGGGCUGGCGCUUCCCGGCACUGUGCACAGUAGGUUGGGGCCCCCAGCCUUCUCCCAACCAGCUGGUGUCCCCAUGGGCAAACUCAGACACAUUGACCCAGCAGCAGACAGAAGGACCCCUUUGACUUUAUCCACAGACCAAGACUAGGUGGUACCCUUGGGAGAGGGCCAAGAGAAUGGCCACGGGGGUGUGGUGAGGAGGGGAGCCAGCUGCUUUUCUCAGAUCCUGGAGGCUUCGAAAGAGAGCAGUGACCAGCCUCAGGAGGCCUGGUUGGAGGACACGCCCAGAGGUCUUCACGGGUGGGUGGAACAGAAGCCACCACCGGAGAGGAGGUUUUUCUCUUCUGCCAAGGUCACACCCUCAGGCCCCAGCUGGGAGGUCUCCAGAGUGGGGAAGGCUUGGCUAGCCUGACCCUCAGUAAGAGAGGGAGGGGGCUUCUGGUAGGCACCUCCAAAUGGGCUUCAGGAGCCACAGCGCAACCAUACUGUUGGAAACUGGACUUGGAGGUUCCAAAGUCUGAGCCCCUUUUCUCAUUGGUGAAGGUGUUACCCACUGUCCUCCCUGCGACAGCAACAGUGCUCCAAAUUCUUGGACUAGAGAGAGCCUGACCUGGUCCACAGCCAGGCCUGGGAGAGAGCAAAGCCCUGAGUGAGCCAGUAGGUGGGACAAUGAGGAGCAGCUGAGGCCUGGAACCUGCAGAAGAGGGAAGGAACAGUGAAUGCAGGGAUGUUCCACCUGGGUAGGCAACACAAGGGUCCCUUCCCAUGCCAUUCUGUGGCCUCAGACAAAGUCACUUUCCCUCUUCAGGUCUCAGUUUCCUCAUCUAUAAAAUGGGAGAGGCAUGAGAUGGCACUAGAAAGUGUACCCACUGGGGUAGCUGGUUAAGAAUACAGAUUCCCAUAUGUCCCUUCACAUCUAUGAGUCACACUCCCCUGGACUAGGGCCUGGGUAUUGGGAAUGUUACACAGCUCCCCCAGGCCCAGUCUUUGGAAGCCAAUGGGUUAGAUAAUUUUAAGAUUCCUCCCAGCCUUAAAUUAGACCAUGGUGCUAGAAGGAGCAUUUUCAGAAGUGGCUGAAGGAUUGUUGCAGGAGCUGGGAGUGGAAGGAGGCUUUGGACUUAAGGCAGAAUUAGGAAUCCUGCCACUUAGCAGCUAUGUGAUUUCAGGCAAGUUACACAUCCACUCUGAGCCAGUUUCCCCUAUAACAUGAGGAUAAUAAAUCAUGCCCCUCAGGCUGCUGUGAGGAUUCAGCGGGUCAUAGAUGUGUAGGUGCUUUGUAGACUGCAAAUAGCCAUUCCCCAAAGGGGAGCAGAGAAGUGUCUCUUUCUGCUCUCUCCUGUCCCUGAGUCAGCUCUACAGUCUUCCUGUGGGGUGACAGCACUGGCUGCUGGGGAGAGUCUACAUGGGUCUGUGGCAUGUAGGCCCCAGGGAUCAGUACUAGGUCAGAGCCAAACAUUAGGCAGUGAUCAAGGUCAGUCUUCAAGACCUUCACAGUAUUGGGGUCCAUUCAGCUACCUGCUCUCUGAGAUCCCAGCUCAUGGGAUCAGCCACGGCCCUGAGUCCUCAGACUCCUUUGGGAGUCAGACAUACCUGAAUCUAAAUCCUAGCUCUGCCCUGACCAGCUUAGGGAGUCAGCUGGUAAAUAUUUAUGUAGCAUUCAUAGCCCAGGCCCUGGGGUCAGGCGAUACAGCAGUAAAUAAGACAGACAUGAUCCCUGCCUCUGAAAAGCCCACACUCUUGAGGUGGGGGGACACACUCAGCAGCCAGUCACACAAGUAAUUGAUUAUAAUGGUGAUAAGUACUAUGAAGGUGAAAUAGAUAGGGCUCUGAGAGGAUGUAGCAGGGGCCAAGAUAAGGCCAGAGGUAGGAUGGGGCAGCAGAGUUUUUCUGAUGAAGGUGAAAGAAGGGUCAGAGAAUGUCCCUUUUCACAUUCUUGGGUCCUUCCCUCAGCAUCCUUCUUGGGUCUGGAAAAGAAGAAAAAAGCCUCAAGGGAAAAGGUGGGAUUGAUUGCUCUGUAUACUUCAUUUGUUUGUUCAUUCAUUCAACAAACUUUUUAAAUUUAAUUUUUUGGAGAAAGGAUCUCACUCUGCUGCCCAGGCUGGAGAGCAGUGGCGUGAUCAUAGCUCAGAGCAGCCAGCCUCAACUUCCUGGACUCAAGUGAUCCUCCCACUUCUCAGCCUCUUGAGCAGCUGGGACUAUAGGUGUGCACUACCAUGCCCAGCUAAUUUUUAAAUGUUUGUAGGGACGCCGUCAUGCCGUGUCGCCCAGGCUGGUCUCGAACUCCUGGACUCAAGCGAUCCUCCUGCCUCAGCCUCCCAUAGUGCUGGGAUUACAGAUGUGAGCUCCUGUCCCUGGCCACACAGCCAUUU
Molecule: long non-coding RNA, 5489 nt
Filed under: Callithrix jacchus (white-tufted-ear marmoset)
Lineage: Eukaryota; Metazoa; Chordata; Mammalia; Primates; Cebidae
Description: lncRNA (ENSCJAG00000071022.1)
Source: RNAcentral